UGUAAGAUUCAUUAAUUUUAUUUAAUUUGUGAGAACUUAACCAACCAUCAGAGUGGCGCAGCGGAAGCGUGGUGGGCCCAUAACCCACAGGUCCCUGGAUCGAAACCAGGCUCUGAUAAAAUAGAGAAGCUUCCUUCUUUUCAAAUGGGUGAAUUA
Molecule: non-coding RNA, 156 nt
Organism: Arachis ipaensis
Lineage: Eukaryota; Viridiplantae; Streptophyta; Magnoliopsida; Fabales; Fabaceae
Source: RefSeq, a predicted model, not a curated record